This 1342-nucleotide ribosomal RNA is filed under the name Enterococcus faecium. Its description in RNAcentral is "bacterial SSU rRNA". It matches the Rfam family "Bacterial small subunit ribosomal RNA", at positions 202 to 1533 of the family's 1533-position model. Lineage: Bacteria; Bacillati; Bacillota; Bacilli; Lactobacillales; Enterococcaceae. The record is from RNAcentral.
AAAGGCGCUUUCGGGUGUCGCUGAUGGAUGGACCCGCGGUGCAUUAGCUAGUUGGUGAGGUAACGGCUCACCAAGGCCACGAUGCAUAGCCGACCUGAGAGGGUGAUCGGCCACAUUGGGACUGAGACACGGCCCAAACUCCUACGGGAGGCAGCAGUAGGGAAUCUUCGGCAAUGGACGAAAGUCUGACCGAGCAACGCCGCGUGAGUGAAGAAGGUUUUCGGAUCGUAAAACUCUGUUGUUAGAGAAGAACAAGGAUGAGAGUAACUGUUCAUCCCUUGACGGUAUCUAACCAGAAAGCCACGGCUAACUACGUGCCAGCAGCCGCGGUAAUACGUAGGUGGCAAGCGUUGUCCGGAUUUAUUGGGCGUAAAGCGAGCGCAGGCGGUUUCUUAAGUCUGAUGUGAAAGCCCCCGGCUCAACCGGGGAGGGUCAUUGGAAACUGGGAGACUUGAGUGCAGAAGAGGAGAGUGGAAUUCCAUGUGUAGCGGUGAAAUGCGUAGAUAUAUGGAGGAACACCAGUGGCGAAGGCGGCUCUCUGGUCUGUAACUGACGCUGAGGCUCGAAAGCGUGGGGAGCAAACAGGAUUAGAUACCCUGGUAGUCCACGCCGUAAACGAUGAGUGCUAAGUGUUGGAGGGUUUCCGCCCUUCAGUGCUGCAGCUAACGCAUUAAGCACUCCGCCUGGGGAGUACGACCGCAAGGUUGAAACUCAAAGGAAUUGACGGGGGCCCGCACAAGCGGUGGAGCAUGUGGUUUAAUUCGAAGCAACGCGAAGAACCUUACCAGGUCUUGACAUCCUUUGACCACUCUAGAGAUAGAGCUUCCCCUUCGGGGGCAAAGUGACAGGUGGUGCAUGGUUGUCGUCAGCUCGUGUCGUGAGAUGUUGGGUUAAGUCCCGCAACGAGCGCAACCCUUAUUGUUAGUUGCCAUCAUUCAGUUGGGCACUCUAGCAAGACUGCCGGUGACAAACCGGAGGAAGGUGGGGAUGACGUCAAAUCAUCAUGCCCCUUAUGACCUGGGCUACACACGUGCUACAAUGGGAAGUACAACGAGUUGCGAAGUCGCGAGGCUAAGCUAAUCUCUUAAAGCUUCUCUCAGUUCGGAUUGCAGGCUGCAACUCGCCUGCAUGAAGCCGGAAUCGCUAGUAAUCGCGGAUCAGCACGCCGCGGUGAAUACGUUCCCGGGCCUUGUACACACCGCCCGUCACACCACGAGAGUUUGUAACACCCGAAGUCGGUGAGGUAACCUUUUGGAGCCAGUCGCCUAAGGUGGGAUAGAUGAUUGGGGUGAAGUCGUAACAAGGUAGCCGUAUCGGAAGGUGCGGCUGGAUCACCUCCUUU